Trifolium pratense (red clover) is the source of this 883-nucleotide long non-coding RNA. RefSeq lists it as uncharacterized. The transcript is spliced from 2 exons. Lineage: Eukaryota; Viridiplantae; Streptophyta; Magnoliopsida; Fabales; Fabaceae. The record is from RefSeq and is a predicted model, not a curated record.
GGUGGACAGGACCCGAAAAACUGGCCCAAUCCGUGUUAGCCCAACAAAAAAAACCGAACCGGGUCGGGUUCAAGCAAAAAACGGGUUUCGCGGGUCUAAACAUCGGUUUCAUAUGACUAGAGAUGGGCGGGUCCGGUUUUGGUUUUGUCAACCACGGAUAACCGAACCGACCCAUCAUUUAAUAUAUAUAUAUUUUUUAUUACUAAUAAUAAUUAAUAACUAUAAUGACGCCGUUUCAUCGUUUGAUCUAUUCCUUUUGUUUCCUCUCCCACUCACACUUUGUUAUUUUUCCAAACCCUAGCAGAGUGAAACACUCAGCCGCCGUCACUCGUUCCUUCGUUUUCUCCACUCGUUCGUUCGAUUUCCCUCCACCGCCGUCGAACUCAAAGUAUCCACCAUCUAUCUCCUCCAUUUUCUUCGUUUUCGAUUUCUUUAUUGGGUUUUUCGUUUUCGAUUUCUUUACAUAAGAAGAAAGAUAUAAAACUCCUCAUGGCUGAGAAACAAAGAGGCUACACUUCUUUGCGAGGUUGAAGGCGUAGACAAAGAAAUAACAUCUCCGUGCUUCUGGUUUGAGGAUCCUUAGUCCUUGUUUUAACUAUAAAAAUAGAUAUUUAUCCCAGGAAACUCUAAGAUUUGGAGGCUUGAAGGAAGAACCAUCAUCCUUUUAUUGUUGUGCAGGAGUUACAUCAAGAGUAGAGUGAAAAUGAAAAUUGAAAAGUGAUGUUGGUAUUGAAAUGAAUAUAAAUCCCAAUCUAGUUCUUCAAGUGUUUAUGAAUUAUUCAGUCAAAAAAUAAAGUGUUUAUGAAUUAUAAGUGUUGUAAUAUUUUUUAUUAGUGUUUUGUUGAGUAUAUACUAUUGUUUAUGUUUAUAAAUGUAUUUUAUA